Molecule: unclassified non-coding RNA, 200 nt
Filed under: Tomentella sp.
Lineage: Eukaryota; Fungi; Basidiomycota; Agaricomycetes; Thelephorales; Thelephoraceae
Description: partial internal transcribed spacer 2
Source: RNAcentral
UUAAGUUCAGCGGGUAGUCCUACCUGAUUUGAGAUCAAACGUUCAAAGAGCUGUCUUCACUGAGGAGAGACAUUUAUGAGCCCCAGUGAACCUUCAGUGAUGAAGGUUACCCAGCGGAAAGCCACAAGCGUAGAUAUAUAGUUAUCACACCUGUGAUGCCACCGAACACUGGUAAGCUGAUCCAUUUGAGAGGAGCUGAC